Molecule: unclassified non-coding RNA, 345 nt
Filed under: soil metagenome
Description: partial contains 5.8S ribosomal RNA, internal transcribed spacer 2, and large subunit ribosomal RNA
Rfam family: 5.8S ribosomal RNA (bases 1-120)
Source: RNAcentral
GAUGAAGAACGCAGCGAAAUGCGAUACGUAAUGUGAAUUGCAGAAUUCAGUGAAUCAUCGAGUCUUUGAACGCACAUUGCGCCCCCUGGUAUUCCGGGGGGCAUGCCUGUCCGAGCGUCAUUGCUGCCCUCAAGCACGGCUUGUGUGUUGGGCCUCCGUCCUCCUCCCGGGGGACGGGCCCGAAAGGCAGCGGCAGCACCGCGUCCGGUCCUCGAGCGUAUGGGGCUUCGUCACCCGCUCUUGUAGGCCCGGCCGGCGCUUGCCGACACAUCAAUCUUUUUUCCAGGUUGACCUCGGAUCAGGUAGGGAUACCCGCUGAACUUAAGCAUAUCAAUAAGCGGAGGA